RNAcentral lists this long non-coding RNA (346 nucleotides) under Ananas comosus (pineapple). RNAcentral's name for it is "long non-coding RNA (ACOM_LNC011286)". The record is from RNAcentral. Lineage: Eukaryota; Viridiplantae; Streptophyta; Magnoliopsida; Poales; Bromeliaceae.
UUUAUAUAUAUAUAUAUAUAUAUAUAUAUAUAUAUAGAGUCCGGCUACUAUACUUUUAUGAGUAUUAGCUCCCUUAUACUCAUAAGUUUUCGGCCCUUUGAUUUAUUCCAUUAGUUAUUUUCAUCCGUUAGAUCAUACUAUUUAACCAACUAUCCACUCAACCCUAGAGGACCACUAACAUUUUAAGUGGGGACCACCAUCAUCCUAACCAUACAUUCUAUUAAUUAACGGUUAAAAAUUUAUGAGUACAAUGAGGUCUAUACUCAUAAGAGUAUAGUAACCCCGGCCUAUUANAGGACUCUAUACUCAUAAGAGUAUAGUAACCCCGGCCUAUAUAUAUAUAUAU